GACGAACGCUGGCGGCGUGCUUAACACAUGCCAGUCGAACGGAAAGGCCCUGCUUUUGUGGGGUGCUCGAGUGGCGAACGGGUGAGUAACACGUGAGUAACCUGCCCUUGACUUUGGGAUAACUUCAGGAAACUGGGGCUAAUACCGGAUAGGAGCUCCUGCUGCAUGGUGGGGGUUGGAAAGUUUCGGCGGUUGGGGAUGGACUCGCGGCUUAUCAGCUUGUUGGUGGGGUAGUGGCUUACCAAGGCUUUGACGGGUAGCCGGCCUGAGAGGGUGACCGGCCACAUUGGGACUGAGAUACGGCCCAGACUCCUACGGGAGGCAGCAGUGGGGAAUAUUGCACAAUGGGCGGAAGCCUGAUGCAGCAACGCCGCGUGCGGGAUGACGGCCUUCGGGUUGUAAACCGCUUUUGCCUGUGACGAGGCGUGAGUGACGGUAAUGGGUAAAGAAGCACCGGCUAACUACGUG
RNAcentral lists this ribosomal RNA (468 nucleotides) under uncultured bacterium. RNAcentral's name for it is "partial 16S ribosomal RNA". It matches the Rfam family "Bacterial small subunit ribosomal RNA", at positions 28 to 507 of the family's 1533-position model. The record is from RNAcentral.